Molecule: long non-coding RNA, 1304 nt
Filed under: Macaca fascicularis (crab-eating macaque)
Lineage: Eukaryota; Metazoa; Chordata; Mammalia; Primates; Cercopithecidae
Description: lncRNA (ENSMFAG00000062111.1)
Source: RNAcentral
GAGGCGGGAGGAUCACCUGAGGUCAGGAAUUCAAGACCAGCCUGGCCCACAUGGUGAAACCCUGUCUACCAAUGAUCCAAAAAUUAGCCGGGUGUGGUGGUGCAUGUGUGUAAUCCCAGCUACUCCGGAGGCUGAGGCAGAAGAAUCUCUCGAACCCAGGAGGCGGAGGUUGCAGAGAGCCAGGUCGUGCCACUGCACUCCAGCCUGGCUCUGUCUUGGUGUUCAGCCACGUUCCCAUGCUCACUCCCAGGGUGACUCUGGGAAGGUCUGAGCCUCCUUGUCUUCCCAGUUAGAAUGAUCCGAUGCCCCUGCUGCCAUCAGACAUGAGUGGGCACAGUGGAUCCCGUCAUGGAGAAGUUCCACACAUCCAUCACCUACGACCGGCACCUGUGGGAGGUGGAUGUUCAAGGCAGCAGAGGCUACAGCAGGGGCCUGGAGAAGGCAGGGCUCCUCACCAAGGCCUAGAUGGACCAGAUACUCCAUGGCCUAGACAAGGUGGCUGAGGAGUGGGCCCAGGGCACCUUCAAACUCAGCCCCAAUGAUGCUGACAUCCACACAGCCAACAAGCACCGCCUGAAGGUAUGACCUCUGCAGCCCUGUAGGGAGACCCCCUGAAACUAUUGCUAUGGAAUAAAAGAUGAAAUGCUCCUGAUUAUUGUAAAUAGAAAAUCGCACACAGGAUUGUGUAAAGACAAUGCCAGGUUGGACCGCCAGAAUGAGCCAACAGCGUGUGAUGUGCUUCCCCCUGCAGAGAGCCUAUGAAUGGAUGUGCAGUCAGGGAAGUUUCACAUCACCAAGAUUCCUAUCCCAGAAAAGCAGAUGUUCAUAGCUCCGGGAAUGGAAUGCGAACCUUGUUGAGAGCCUAUAAAUGGACGCAUGGGGUGCGCCUGUCCAUAUGGAUAAGGUAGGGCUAUAAACGCCCUCAUCUUGCCACGGCUCUUCUAGGCCUCUUUAGGGUUAAGGCAUACUCCCUUCUGAGAAUUUCUGGUCUAAUGGGUUGUCUAGCUUCACGUCCUGUUUCUAUGGAUUAUUUGUAACCAAUUUUUGCUGCAGCUGUUACUGCUGAUUAAUAUCUUGCUAAUCAUAGGUUAUGGAAAGACUGUGUUUCUGUUUUAAGGCUCUGUUAGAAAUUACUGAUGCACACACUACAUUGUAAAUUCUUAUCUGUAUACUGUACUUCUGCAUACAGAUGUUAUGUUAAAGAAUUACUUCAUCCCCAUGUCACCAUCUCACCUCAUAAUCAAACGACCCUAAAUCCCUCACUAACCUACUUCUGCCCUCACUAAACUUAAUAAUAAAUGCUG